Molecule: transfer RNA, 87 nt
Filed under: Agrococcus baldri
Lineage: Bacteria; Bacillati; Actinomycetota; Actinomycetes; Micrococcales; Microbacteriaceae
Description: tRNA_Leu_CAG
Rfam family: tRNA
About the family: Transfer RNA (tRNA) molecules are approximately 80 nucleotides in length.
Source: RNAcentral
GCGCGAGUGGCGGAAUUGGCAGACGCGCUGGCUUCAGGUGCCAGUGUUCGCAAGAACGUGGGGGUUCAAGUCCCCCCUCGCGCACGA